GAAGGUGUUGCUGUACACGUCUCUACGAUGACAUCUAACUACGUGUACACGUCUCCCGAGAAGAUCGUUUACCAAAUAAUGAGGUAGUGCGAACAUCGUUUGCGGCCGGGCUCGAAGGUGAUUUAGAUUCUCAACCUGCCGGACGGCUAAACGGCGCCACUACCUACUACGGCGCCACGUGCAAGAGCACAAGGGAACCGGUGCCGUCCCUGUGUAGUUGGGGUACGAGGUAAAGCGGUGGCGGGAGCAGCUGCGGCCGCAGGUUCAAUGGAAGGAGGUGUGGCUCGCGUUGGAGGCAGCAGAACGAGUCCGCGGAGGCGGCCCGGAGGCGAACGACAGGUAGGGGCUGCCGGUUGGGCUGCCAGUGGGAGGGCCGAAGAACCUCGAGGACCUCAGGUACAGGUGCUGGCCGUCGCGCCGCAUGGCCCGGGACGAGAGACGACGGCUACGCGGCCACUGUACGCAACAGCGGCUGUCGUGGUAAGGCAAGCGGAAGCUGUAGCGGCUCCUCGAGCCGUAGGGUAGCGAGCGGAAGCAGUGCGUGUCGCGCACGUCAAUGGACCGCUAGGAUAGAUACGGGUUCGAGCAGCUCGAGCCGCUCUGGCGGAAGGGACGUCUGCUGGACCACGCACCGCAAGGCCCCUACCUCCCGAAGGAGGCCGCUGCUCUAGAGGGUGCACCUGAGACGACGCGACUUUCUCCGCCGCUUCUGGGGAACCACGAGUUCUAGCGGCUCCAGUGGCGAGCAUGGUCGUUCCGUGCACGUGAGUAUCAGUUGUGGCGGCGCAGGUACCUCGCCAGUCGCGAGCGGGUGUAGCGCAGCACGUGUUGGCUGCAGAAGCGGCAUCCGGGCGAAGUGCGCUCCAGCUCCAAGCGGCGUUCGCGCUCGGACACCGCCCUCCUGCUGCUCACGUACCGUACCGACCUGCCGGUGCUGCUGGCCAGGCAGCACAUGCACUCGGACCCCUCGGAGCGGCACUAGUGCGUACUCGUCAAGUGACUUAAGGAGCGGCCGGACCGUCGGUGGCCCAUGCGGAAGGAGACCCACGAGGCCGGCCUGUACCAGGUUUACCGGUCGAGGCGCGAGGAGGCUCUCCGGCAGCCCCGUCGGCUCCCGCCGUCUCCCGCGCAGUAGCUCACCCGAGGAGUCGCGCUGCACAACGCCGUGGCCCGCCACCCGACGAAGGACUGUGUGCGUCCUACCUUGAGCUGCGACCUCACGCGGCAGCUCCCGCACGGCUACCACACGACCGGGAAGAAGCAGCUGGUCGUCUGGUUGUCGGCGAAGCACCUACGGCACACCUCCUGCCCCGACCUGUACUUCCUGUAGACGCUGUCUCCACGGCACCUCUCCUGUCACUCCCUCCAGUACCACAGGCUGCUCUAGACCCCCCACCGGGUUCGGUACCGCGUUGUCAACUCCGAGCUACAGCGCCUCUGCCCCAGCAGCAGGAGACUAAAGCUUGCCGAGCAGGUGAAGUAGCCCCUCGACUUCGUGACACACUUCGGAUCGAGUCCGACUUGUUGUCGAAACGGAGUGGGUGGACUUUCAUUCCCCCUACUUUUCAUAAUAUCCUUUCCGGUCAUUAGUCGGGCAUUACCCGGGCACUCAAAUCGUAAAAACCCGAUUUGUUACGAGAGAGGGUGCCGACGGAGAUCCACAUGUCCACAUGCCGCUGGGGCGCUGUCAAUCCCUCGAGGCGCUAGAGCACCUCCGCACACGCGGCAGCUAGGAAACGUAACAACUUUGAGUUGAACGCUUCCGGGCUCACCUCCCUAACCGACAAAGAAAUCCAAAAAGUCCUACAAAACGUCAAGGUUCAUUGCCAGCAUCACCACCAAAUACAUAAAAAACUUUUCUAGUACAAUUAGAGCGUUAUUUCUUGAAAAGCGU
Molecule: ribosomal RNA, 1894 nt
Filed under: Triticum aestivum (bread wheat)
Lineage: Eukaryota; Viridiplantae; Streptophyta; Magnoliopsida; Poales; Poaceae
Description: partial small subunit ribosomal RNA
Source: RNAcentral